CCCCACAGCCUGCCCUGUCUCUAUGCUCUCCUAGAGGUCUGAGCAGCGAGGCACUGAAGCAGCAAGUCACACCGCCAUCACACACCCUGCGAGCUGGACGGGGAAACCUUUCCUGUUUCACAAUCAUAGCAACAGAAAGAAAGCCCUUGCUUGGGCUGCUCUCCACCACUUAGAGGUCUCUUGAACACUCUUCCCACUUUGACUUCUUUCCUCUGUGCCCUUUUCUCUAAUUCAUAAGCACUGAUCAGCUAAUAAGCUGUCCCUCUCAAACAACAUAUUCUAUUUCCAGUAGGCUUUUCUGGAGCCAUUAUUCCUUAAUCCAAAGACAUUACUGGAACAUCAGAUAUCUCCUGAAGUGUGUUGUUUCAGUAUGAUGUGCAUUUUGGUUAGCCUGGCCAUUCAGUCUCUGCAAUUCAUUGCAAUGCAUUGCUUGUCUCAGUCACCUAAGCUGGCGGGAAUAAUUGUAUGUCUCUAGGGAGAUGGUAGCUCCCUAUCUUUUCCCACCAUCUUCUAGAAGAGUUCAGAGGAGAAGAUAUAUCUUACUUAUCACAAGGCUACUAAACUUAUAAGUAGCCAACCCUUUGUACAGAAAACACCCCAGAUGUUUCCAAGUGAAUCUUGGGAAGUGAGCAUUUAGGAGGCUCUGUUUGAUCUAUGAACACUCAUAAUACUUUGACUUUCUCUGACCCUAUAAAUAAUACAGCUCUGGUAGAUAAGCCGAACAACCCUGGGAAAAGCUCUCGAGGUCUUCGUGGGAGCUUUGAAAGGACGCGGGGCAGCACGGCUUCCUUUCCUACAGCCAUUGUGCUCCCGGGGCUCUCCCGUUGAUAUCUGCCACUACAAACAAGCUGAGUUUCCUGGAAAAAAUGUCAAGCUCCCUGUAGAAGAGGUCCGAAGCAGGGUUCUUCACUGUGCUGUCUUUCUAUGUACUGUUUGGUUUGUCUUCUAGGAUAACAGAAGUUCAAGAGGAAAGGACAGUGAGAGACCAUGACUAAAGAAUUACUCCGUGAACAACUCAGGAGGACCAGCUAUGAUUUCACUCUCAUUCAAAAAAGAGAAAUAAUAUUUCUUUCAGCUGCUACCCAUAAAAUAUUUUUGAAUGUGUGUACAAUGUUCAUGCUGUAAUGGCUGCUCUAUCAUGAAGGAUGUGUUGACACCUCGUGGGUGGCUUUUCACAAUCCCCUUGGACACAGAUUGGGGGAUUGACGGCCCCAUCCCCUCAUUUUCCACACCAAGGGGCAGUUGGGAUAUGCGUAAAAUCUUGUUCUCUAGUUAGGACCUGUUGCUAUAAAUCUAGCAUCAAGAGUAUCACUAUUUUCUAAACACUUUGCCAGACAGCCUUCGGAGUAUAAUUUUCUGAAGUUUAUAAAGCAUAACUCAUACACACACCUAGUGACCAUGUUCUGAAGGUAUAUUUAACUCCUGCAUGAGGGAACAGGCAGGAUGAAAGUGGGUUCUAAGGAAGAGACUAGCAUAUAUGAUCAACGGAGAAAAAUGAAGAGUAAGCUUGAAACCGCCUUUGCAAAAAUUAUAACCGAGGAGAUUAUGACAGUGAAGGAGAUCAGACCUAACCGACCCCAUCUUGCUUCUAACCUUUAAGCUGUCCUUGUUCAUUCCUGGGUGUAGGCCGAACUAACUUUGGGAAGGAAUUUGUUCGUGGUUUGACUCUGAAACAAAAAAAUUGAUAAUAGCCCUUUCCCGAAAAGACCGCCUUCUUGCCUGGGGACCAGUCUGCCUUUGCAGGACUAACAAAUUAACUACGAGAUUAGAAAUUACAGUUUAGGGGUCCUGCAGCCUCUGACUCCAAGAGUCAGACCCUCCCCACAUUGCUUCUGGGGAUAACAUCACUAUUAUAAAACCUAAGAUCAGUGCUUGAGAUAUUUUGCAGACCCUGCACUGGAUGGAUCAGCUGACACCACCCAGACCCGUAAUCUGGAUCAACCAGUUCUGCCAUCCCACCCAAGAACAGAAGAUGCAAGAAAAACUCACUUUGACCCUCUAUGAUUCCAUCUCCAACCUGACCAAUCAGUACUCCCCACUUCCCAAGCCCCUGCCUGCCAAAUUAUCUUUAAAAACUCUGAUCCCCGAAUGCUUGGAGAGGCUGAUUUGAGUAACAACACAACUCUGGUCUCCUGCACAGCCAGUUCUGUGUGAAUUACUCUUCGUCCAUUGCAAUUCCCCUGUGUUGAUAAAUUGGCUCUGUCGAGGCAGUGGGCAAGGUGAACCCACUGGGCAGUUACAAGACUGCAAAGUUAGAAACAAAACUGGCAAUGCCCCAUGGGUCAAAAAUAAUCAAUUAAUUCAUAACAUUUGACUUGAUUAAGUUUUCUACUGGACAGAAACAAUUUGCAACUUAUCCUUCCUCUACAUUGUUUGACUGCCAUGUCAAUUGUAAGUAUUAGAUCAAAUUUUAAAAUAAUUAUUUUAGAGCUUCAGAUGCACCUUACAUGGGCUUGUUAGAUUGUUAGACACUGCUUAGUGACAUUGAAAGAGCCCACAAUACUUUUUUUGCCUUAUUUCUAAGUUGUGGGUAUCCUUUUCUUAACACUUCUUUUCUGUGAUUCUAUGCAAGACAAUCAUUGAUGAAAUGGGAUUUUCUGGAUGGGAAGUCCGUGUACUUUACUGAAACCUCUUUCUACAGUUCUGUCUUUCAAGUGGGAUUCUGUGAGCUGACUCAUGACAGCUGAGCAUCAUCGGAGAUUGGCUUCAAUGGUCCUCAAUGUGCAGAACGUAAAUAGCAAUUUCUACCAUCAUUCAAUAGCAUUUGUGGGUCCUUUUAUAUGGAGUAUAUAAAAGUAUUUGCAGGUCUUGGUUUAUCUGUCCCCACGUGACAUACCUAUAGAACAGGUAUUUUCAUCCCAGCUACUUAUUAUAAAUAUUUAAUAAGUAGGCUAAUGGUUUGGAAUUCUAUUUCUCUAUUUGCAUGAGUCAAAUAAUAGACCAAAUUCUUUCAAAAAGAGGAGAUGUUAACAUACCAAAAGAAACUGAAACAAGAGCAUUGAACCCACGGUGCCCUUCAGAAACACCUGCCAACAAUGGGGCAGAGUGUCCAGCUGCCUGGACAGUGUGUGCAGGGGCGGGGCCCUUCCUGUUCACAAUGGCUUUGCCUGGCAGUUAAAAUGCAAAUGGAGGGCAGACUGAGAGUGCAUCACCCUCUCACAUCUCAGAGUCUAAAAGGCGGCCUUUCAGUGCCUUCUGUUCAAAUUGCAAAUGCUCUUCCUUUAUCCCCCAAGGCCUGGGAGACAGUUCUGAAUAAUUCUUCCCCAACAAAUUGGCUUUCCUCUUACCAGCAACAAAAGCCCUUAUUGGUUUUAAAAGUGCAAAGAACAAAUUUUAUUCAAGGGUCUUAAGGCAGAUGAAGGUUCACAGAAACUACAAGGGCAGUUCCAGAGCCUCCAUGUACGACCGUGUCCCUAUAACGACUGGUCCUUAUAAGAGGCCAGCAACAGUAUCUUAUUUUCCUGUACAGGCCUGGGAUUCCCAGUAAUUUCUUUGCAUUGGCUUUGUAAGCACAAUUACUCAGAGUUUCCGAGAAUUGGGACAUUUCCAAGAAAUUGCCCAAUGGGUCAGUGGAGUGCUGUCAAAUGAGAUGGACCAUCUUAAAAUCAAAACGUGGGUGGUUUCUGCUCAUUGCUGAGCAUUUCACUUCCAUUCUGAAAAGUCUAAGAACGUCACUCCAGGAGAUACAAUGUCAAGGGCUCCCGCCACUCUUCAUCAUUGCCCAAGUCAUAAGAAUCAUCCCCCAAAUUCCUUCUAUUUCUCCAAGGUAGGGUAACCCAGGGCUGGGUAAGCCUGUUAGGGCAGGUCAGGUUGGCACAUACAGAGGAGGAACUCAGACAGACAGACAGCGCCAGGGGACCAGCGGCACUGUGUGCUCAUCACCACCCUCAGGGAUUCAAGGGCCUUGUCCUGGUACCUGGGUCACCUUCUGAAAUAAGUGCUACUGAGGUUCAUGGCCAAGACCCUUCCAGGAAAUUCAGAAGGAGGUUGGCUUCAGUGGGAAAGUAGUCUGUGACCCAGAAGGUGUUUAUUCAACAAGGUGCAAGCUGACAACAUGUUUCUUUGCUCUGGACACUGGAAUUAAACUCCUAAGAGACCCUAUUCUUUUCUGAUGACUGCUUCUUUGGAAAUGGUACAGCUUGGAUUUUCAGGGCAAGAAACUCAUGUUUUCUUGGCUCGCUGAACUGAAUAACAAAAGAAACAGACAUGGGGACCUGCCUGCAGCCUAAAGUUGGUUGUCAAAAGAAAUAAUUAGAAGAGAAAAGUGCUUCUUCAAUUUUUAACCAUCCAACUGAUCCCACGUGUCCAGCUCUUCCCUAGGCAGGGGAGAUCACAAGGACUUUAUUACCUGUGCUCUCAGGGUAAUGAGGCUUUUGUCCUGCUCACCCACAGCCUCCAAUGGUCAGGUCAAGGCCCCACCUCUUCAGCUUCUCAGCUACCACUCCCUCAGCUGCAGUCCUGCCCUGGGUAGGAGGAGUUGUAUAGGAUGGGCCAACUGUCUUGUUUUGCUUUGUGCACACACCUGGCCAAGGUGGUGGUCUGCUUUCUGCUCAGGGUCUCAUGAGUGUUCCAUGAACUCACAUCCAUCAAUCUCUGGCCAUCAAGACUCAAACAAGCCCCUCAGGUUGGCAGAGAUUGGGGAACCGACCUCAUGUCAUCCCCCCCAUUUUCCACAUUACCUCCAGUUGAGAAUUUUAGCCCCCAUGAUCAGAUGGGUGAGAAAUAGCCCGUCUUCAUUUUCUUCAAAUUAGCCUGACUCUGACUCCACAGGUCCCACCCACCAGGCAGGAGAGGACUGAGCCUCAUGGCUACUGGCCCUUCCCCAUCUUUCGAGGCUUCCUCUUGCCCCCUCCGGAGAAGGGCCUUAGACAUUCCACCAUUAUGUGUGUGGUCUGGCAGCUUUCUGCCCUAUGCUCCUGUGGAGCUGGGAGCCUUGGACAAGACAGAGUGUCUGAUGCCGAGACCUCAGCCUUUUAAAUGUACUCACGGGUGCUGAGGAGGCCUGGCCUCCUCCUGGGGAUGCAGACAGGGAGCGAGACGCAGGUAACCCCUGCCCACAGGCUCCGUGAACCUCAGAUCUGUUCUCAAUCCAAGAAACACAAUUCCACUUCCCCUUCACCUCUCUCACUCCGGGAAACUUUGCACUACCUUUUCAAUGGGCUUAAAAGAGUGGAGGAAAAAUUGUCUUCAGACAACUUUAAACAGUUUUAAAACAGAAAAUUUACUUACAGGGACUCCCUAGAUGUUAGAAGAAAGCUCCAGGUAGCUGCAGGUAGCUAGGAAGUAGGAAGAGCCCACCUCUUCUUGGAAUGGGGAAGAACACACAUGAACUCUUAUCUCAUGAAAUCCAAUAGUCAAAUAUGACAUGGUUUGUGUGAGUGAAAAGACCCCAGAAUAAGACCACCUGGGUGAGCCAGUGCCUGGUGGUCUCAAAGCAUCCCCCUCCUCCCAUCCACCCCUGCUCUGCCCUGUAUCAUGGGGGGUCUGGCCUCUGCAGGCUAUGAGCCCUGGGUUCCUGUGUCUCUGGCUUCUGACUGGGUUGGACCAAUGAGAAGCCUGGAGGGACAUGGGUGUGUACAGGAGUCUGGGUGGGCUUCUUGACUCUGUUUGUUGGGCUGUCUUGCCUGGAGGCUCUUUCCUUCUACAAGCCAGCUCCUGCCACAGAGACCCACCCUGGUUCCAGCUUCCCUUCAGUGAGUCUGAUUCCUGGGCUCUGAUAACUGCCUCCUUCCUUGUGCAUCUGAGAGGUGGUAGCCACUUCCUGAUGCUGUGGACACCAGGGUUGCCUCAAUGUCCCUUGUCUGACGUUUUGGCUCUUCUACCAUCUAGGAAGUCCCUGUAAUUAAAUUUUCUCUCUUAUAAAACUUAGGAUGACUGUUUAUCCUCACUGGGUCCUGACUUAGUCACUUACUACUGUGUGGUUGUGGUCAAGCUUCUUUCUCCUGCUAUGUUCAGUUUCCUCAUCUGGAAAGUGGGAUAAUAAUGGGUUCUUCCUUAGAGAACUCACCCCAGAGUGAGUUAAAUAAGAUAAUACUGAGAGUUUGUUACUUGGAACUCACACAGUAAAUGGUAGUUCUUGGAGUCUGUACCAGAGGGUCCUGAGGUGUGGGCUGAGGGUGAUCUUUGGUGGUGCCUGUUCACUGGAUUCAACAACUGCCAAUCACAGAGUGAGGAAGUUGUUCACUUUUCAGGUGGUUCUGUUUUUUUCUGUCUCUCUUCUUCUGGAUACAAUAAAAGCUGCUCUCUGUUCCUAGUAUGUCUUUAGAACUUGGAGUCUCCAUGACCACGGGAGAAAGAGCAGGUCUCAGACUGAGGAAGUAGGACCCAACAGCAUUGUUCUGUUUACAUGGAAUUUGCUUUUACAGCCAAAUUCUACUGAUGGCAAAUGAUACAGUUUUCCAUUUCUGGAGGUGAUAAAAAGUUCUUUUAAUAAUGAAUUCAUUUAAGUUUUUUGGUUUUUUUUUUGGUUUUUUUUUUUUUUUUAAAAAAAAGAUCGACUUGGAAAAACAGAAGUAAAAGAGUGCAGUUGGGAGGAGCUUGAUGACCUGAGCUUAGAAGGCCUUUCCUGCAGACGUGCUCUGGGGCUAGUGGGUUGAAUCAGGACACAGAACAACAAAGACAGUUUCUGCCUUCAAGGAGUGCAUGGUUCUCAGCCAAAUUCAACAGGAAUAAUAUGACAGAACAUAAUUAAAUAGCAAGUAAUUUGUUACAGAUGCAAAUUCUGCAAAAGUUCAAAGACACAUGGGCCAAUGGGGUCAGGAGAAGGCGGGAUGGAGGAGGCGACUUAACAGGAGAGAUUCCCGGUGGUGGGCACAGGUGCAGAGAAACGGGGACCUGGAUUAGGGGAGCAAAGGAGAGCUAGUGUGACGGUGUGGCAAAAAUGGGUUUUGAGUUUCUGGAGUAGAGAUCCAGGUCGGUGUCAGAGGUGCUGGGGGUUCUGGGAAGGAAAAUGAUGACAAGUUGAGGACAGGAAACGUGGAGUUCUGCAUCAUUAAGCGUCAGUUUCACGGGAUGAUGUAGUCCUCGCAGAAUCGUUUUUGGCUGUGGUGUGCAGGAGGGGUCUGCGGCUGAGCCACUGCAGAAGGACUGGCCAGCUGGGAGGCUGGGAGGCAGAUGCUGUAACCCUGGUGUGACCCUGUCCCUGCAGAGAGAGAGCCAGGGAAGGGGCCAGGUGAGCAGGGCCAGGGGGCAGCAGCACCAUCAUCCAGGGCACUCAGGGGUUAAAGCCUCAUCUGGGGACACAGUGAGGAGCUGAUCCGGGAAGGAAGAGGCUACAUAGUUCAUAUCAGACCAUGCACACACACACACACACACACACACACACACAAACACACACACACCAGAGAUCCAACUCUUCCUACAGUUUCUCACCAAGAAAGGUCAUGGCUGGGUUGAAGAAAGUGAGGCAGGAGUGUUUUCCUUGCAAGGAACUUUUGUGUGAAGAGGUCUCUCCCAAGGGUGCUCAUAUCAGGCAAAAGGUUCUGUCUGGGAUCGCUGAUCCAUCUGAUCUCCGUCCUGCAGGAGCCUUGCUCUUCCUCAUGGAGACGCGUUUGCAUCUAGAGGGAAAAUUGUGAGUAAAAGCCAUUACUACAAAAUGCACAUGUGGAUUCCACCGUGGAAAAGUGGGGAGCCCGGGGCCGGGCACAGCAUCCGAAAUGAAGGUGUGUCACAGGACAGUCGCAUGCUCAGGCUGCCUCAACAGAGAAAUAGGUGAAGGAGAGCAUUUCUCUUUCCACAACUGACAAGAAUUCUGUCUUAACGUGAACUGUUUUUGUUGUUGUUGUUGUUGUUUUUUGUUGUUUUUUAUUUGAGACGGAAUCUCACUGCGACACUCAGGCUGGAGUGGAAUGGCACGAUCUCGGCUCACCGCAACCUCUGCUUCACUUCCCAGGUUCAAGCAAUUCUCCUGCCUCAGCCUCCCAAGUAGCUGGGAUUACAGAAACUAUAAACAUUGAAAGGAAUGCUGGGGCCUCCAAAAUCUGCGAUUACAUUUCUCGUAAAUGGCAACUCAUUGUCAUCCUGCAGACAUGGAUUAAACCACAGGAUGGGGUCUGAACAUGGAACACUUGCAGGUUAACAGCAACAACAUCCACUCCAACAGAAUCACCCCCGUCACAGUGAGCAAUGAGCAAAAACAUGGCUCAGAAACAGUUUCCCCAGAUGUUCAAUAAAGGACAUUUAAAUGAGACAUUUACCAUCUGGUUAAUAACAUAGCAUUGAGUGGGACUUGGUAACAAUAUCCCAAUACGUAAGCUUUUAAAAUCAGUUCUUUUCCCUGAGCAUAAAACUGCUUCUCCAUCUGCCCUAUGAAAACAGGCGAUAAAUAAAUGUUUGUUCAACCUCA
This is a long non-coding RNA of Pan troglodytes (chimpanzee), 8344 nucleotides long. RefSeq lists it as uncharacterized. The record is from RefSeq and is a predicted model, not a curated record. The transcript has 2 exons. Lineage: Eukaryota; Metazoa; Chordata; Mammalia; Primates; Hominidae.